AUCCCAUGAUGAGGACACUCGAGUAUGUAGUCUUGAAAGUGCUUCCAAGCUUCUGGGACUGUCUCAUCAUGUUGUUGCUGAAAACUCAAUAUCUUCCACACAGAGCAC
This 108-nucleotide small nucleolar RNA is filed under the name Sorghum bicolor (sorghum). RNAcentral describes it as "Plant small nucleolar RNA R71". It matches the Rfam family "Plant small nucleolar RNA R71". From Rfam's summary of the family: R71 is a member of the C/D box family of snoRNAs containing the C (UGAUGA) and D (CUGA) box motifs. Multiple nearly identical copies of this snoRNA have been identified in Arabidopsis, and it is thought to function as a 2'-O-ribose methylation guide for 18S ribosomal RNA. Lineage: Eukaryota; Viridiplantae; Streptophyta; Magnoliopsida; Poales; Poaceae. The record is from Rfam by way of RNAcentral.